Molecule: ribosomal RNA, 1584 nt
Filed under: Salmonella enterica subsp. enterica serovar Enteritidis
Lineage: Bacteria; Pseudomonadati; Pseudomonadota; Gammaproteobacteria; Enterobacterales; Enterobacteriaceae
Description: partial 23S ribosomal RNA
Rfam family: Bacterial large subunit ribosomal RNA
Source: RNAcentral
GGGUUGUGAGGUUAAGCGACUAAGCGUACACGGUGGAUGCCCUGGCAGUCAGAGGCGAUGAAGGGCGUGCUAAUCUGCGAUAAGCGCCGGUAAGGUGAUAUGAACCGUUAUAACCGGCGAUACCCGAAUGGGGAAACCCAGUGUGAUUCGUCACACUAUCAUUAACUGAAUCCAUAGGUUAAUGAGGCGAACCGGGGGAACUGAAACAUCUAAGUACCCCGAGGAAAAGAAAUCAACCGAGAUUCCCCCAGUAGCGGCGAGCGAACGGGGAGGAGCCCAGAGCCUGAAUCAGCAUGUGUGUUAGUGGAAGCGUCUGGAAAGGCGCGCGAUACAGGGUGACAGCCCCGUACACAAAAGCGCAUGUGCUGUGAGCUCGAUGAGUAGGGCGGGACACGUGGUAUCCUGUCUGAAUAUGGGGGGACCAUCCUCCAAGGCUAAAUACUCCUGACUGACCGAUAGUGAACCAGUACCGUGAGGGAAAGGCGAAAAGAACCCCGGCGAGGGGAGUGAAAAAGAACCUGAAACCGUGUACGUACAAGCAGUGGGAGCACAGGUUUACCUGUGUGACUGCGUACCUUUUGUAUAAUGGGUCAGCGACUUAUAUUCUGUAGCAAGGUUAACCGAAUAGGGGAGCCGGAGGGAAACCGAGUCUUAACCGGGCGUUAAGUUGCAGGGUAUAGACCCGAAACCCGGUGAUCUAGCCAUGGGCAGGUUGAAGGUUGGGUAACACUAACUGGAGGACCGAACCGACUAAUGUUGAAAAAUUAGCGGAUGACCUGUGGCUGGGGGUGAAAGGCCAAUCAAACCGGGAGAUAGCUGGUUCUCCCCGAAAGCUAUUUAGGUAGCGCCUCGUGAAUUCAUCUCCGGGGGUAGAGCACUGUUUCGGCUAGGGGGCCAUCCCGGCUUACCAACCCGAUGCAAACUGCGAAUACCGGAGAAUGUUAUCACGGGAGACACACGGCGGGUGCUAACGUCCGUCGUGAAGAGGGAAACAACCCAGACCGCCAGCUAAGGUCCCAAAGUCAUGGUUAAGUGGGAAACGAUGUGGGAAGGCCCAGACAGCCAGGAUGUUGGCUUAGAAGCAGCCAUCAUUUAAAGAAAGCGUAAUAGCUCACUGGUCGAGUCGGCCUGCGCGGAAGAUGUAACGGGGCUAAACCAUGCACCGAAGCUGCGGCAGCGACACUGUGUGUUGUUGGGUAGGGGAGCGUUCUGUAAGCCUGUGAAGGUGUGUCGUGAGGCAUGCUGGAGGUAUCAGAAGUGCGAAUGCUGACAUAAGUAACGAUAAAGCGGGUGAAAAGCCCGCUCGCCGGAAGACCAAGGGUUCCUGUCCAACGUUAAUCGGGGCAGGGUGAGUCGACCCCUAAGGCGAGGCCGAAAGGCGUAGUCGAUGGGAAACGGGUUAAUAUUCCCGUACUUGGUGUUACUGCGAAGGGGGGACGGAGAAGGCUAUGUUGGCCGGGCGACGGUUGUCCCGGUUUAAGCGUGUAGGUGUGUGUUCCAGGUAAAUCCGGUUCACUUUAACACUGAGGCGUGACGACGAGGCACUACGGUGCUGAAGCAACAAAUGCCCUGCUUCCAGGAAAA